This 6224-nucleotide long non-coding RNA is filed under the name Cinara cedri. The record is from RNAcentral. Lineage: Eukaryota; Metazoa; Arthropoda; Insecta; Hemiptera; Aphididae.
CAAUAUUAUUUGACAAAAUGCAAAGGAAUAAUGAUAAAUGCGAUGUUUGCGGUAAUAAUAAUUUCAGCGUCAUGGAUGGGGCAUUCAUAUGCGACGAAUGUGGAAUACAAUCUCAAGUAAGUUUUAACAAUCUCAUGAUAUAACAGUGAAACUUCUGAAUGGCUGACAUUGAAUCACUCAAAUUGUAAUUGCUUUUCAGAGGGUGUAAAUGUUUGAAAUUCAUGAAUAUUAAAUUAUUUUGAAAGAUUGAUUAUCAUUAAUGUAUAAUUUACUACAUAAAUAGUAGGUAUAUAUAAAAUAAAAUUGAGGGAAAAAUAAGACUGACCAAAAACCAUACUUGGAAAAAGAAUCCAAAAAACCAUAAAUAUGUAUUAUACUUAUUGUUUUAAGUUAUUAAAAAUAAUUUUUUAAAAGCAUAAUGUUCAUGUAUUAUCAGUUUUAUCAGGUAUUAGUGUUUACAAAAAAAAAAUUAAUUUAAAAAAAUGUGAUAGGUAAUUAAUAGGUAAUUUAAAAAUACAAAAUACUUAUUUAGUUAUUUUCUAUUUGCACGCAAAAAUUUUGUAAGCAGUUGUCCAUUUUUGUUACCACUAUAUUAUUUAAUGCCAAUUUUAAAAACAGAAUAAUAUGAUAUGUGUAAUGUAGGUACCUCUAAGGAAAAUCUAUCUGUAUAAUAUUUAUCUUAUUUCUGAUUUAUUGCUUAAAAAUCUUCAAUAUGUACUUUUAUUGGUCAUCUAUUAAUCUGUAAAUAUAUUAGAUACCUAUAUUUGAUAAAUAUACACAAAAAACUAACAAGUAUUGUAAAAAUUUUAAUCGUAGUAAGUCAUAACAUACAAAAAUCAUGCUUUUAAAAAAUUAUUUUUAAACUGCCUGUGUUUUUUAUUAACUCAAAAAGUAUAAUAAAUAUUUAUGGUUUUUUUUUAUUAUUAAAAAAAUGUAUGUAUUAAUUUACAACGGUUUUUUUUUUUUUUGGAAGUUUUUUUCCUAAUACCAUGAAAAAAAUUGAUCAGCUGCAUAAAUAUUCUAUUUGGGGAGAAAACUUUAGGGUUGAAGUCCGGCUAAAUUCUGUGUACCUCGUAUGACCAAUAUCACUCGAUUGAAUUUUUGAUUUUCCAAUUUAGAUAUGUCUAGUUUAAAGAUGUGUAUUAGUAAAGUUUCAUCAUUCACACACUGUCUGGCUUUCGGGUGUUAAAACUAUAGUUAAAAAAAAAAAAAAUACUGUAGAGGUGUUCUAUUAAUAUAAUAUAAUUAAUAUAAUUAAUAUGACCUUAUGGCAGUCAUAAUUUUCAGUUUUUAUAUUUUAAAUACUUUUAUAUAACAUUUUGUUAGGCAAUGAAAAAAAAGUAUUGAAAUCUCGUUUAUAUUUUUGCAGGAAAUUCUGACUAGAACAUUUAUAAGUUAAGGAAAUAAAAUGAAAAAUAUAGGGGUGAUUUUUAGAUAUUUAUUUUUUUAUUUCCCCAAAAGCCAGGUUUCAACCAAAUUCGGUCCUUGACUUUGUAAAUUUCAUCUUUAUUUGAGAUCUAAUAUAUUUUCCAAUUCAACAUUUUUUAUUAUUUUAACAGAAAUCAAGAAUAACAAAUUGUUCGCUUAGAGAUAAUCAGGUUAGUUACCCUGCCACUCCAGUCUUUUCAAUGUCUGGACUUUUCAUUUUUAUUUAAUUUUUUACCAAUGAUUGUACCUACUAUAAUUGCUUUUAAAGAGUUGGACUUUGUAAAGCACAUUAUAUCCAAGUUUCACUUCUCUACUUGAUUAAAAACAAUUUAAUUUUCUCUGGUACAUUUGAUUCUUGAAUACUCUUCAGUAUUAUGGGACCCUCACACUGCAAUGCUCCCGAGUUGGUGAGAGCACAAUGACAUUUCUUCUUCUUUGCAGAUCAUGGUCUAGGUAUCAAACACCUCAGCACAAUUAUUCCAAUGUUCGACACUAUUUUGGGCUGUCAGAUGAGUGUCAGCUAACCUAUCGUUUUUGAGUAAGUUGAUUAAUAGCACAAUAUUGAUGCACCAUCACUCUUAUCCCAAGUGAACUUCAAGAUUCUUUCACGCUUCUUGUGAAUCUUUCUCCCCUUUGUAGUUCCUUUGAAUACCACAAACUAUGCUCGUAACCACCCUGAUCAUUACAUGAUGCAUCUUGCUAAUGAGCACUUAUCUUUAUGUUCUUGUACAUUUUGAACUUUAGUCUGUUUUGUAUAAGUAAAAUAAAAUAACUUUUACCCAUUUGUAUCUAAAUAUUUCUCACUGAAAAUUUUUUCCUAUAGGGUACCAGGGUACUGUUACUCCAGUACCACCACUACCUAAAAAUGUACUAUUUACAUUUUUUUUUUUUAUAUAAUUGUACUAUAAUUUGUACCAAUUUGUACUACCAAGGUCAGAAUACCUUAAUAUUUUUGUCUUUAAUAUAAAAAAAUAUUAAAAUUUUUGUUGAAACUUUUAAAAUGUAUUAUUUAAAAUAAAAUCAAAAAUGUUGUCUUAAAAAUAGUUUUUAAUAUUUCUUUUUUACUUUGUAUGUAGUAACUUCAGUAACUCAAAAUUAUUUUUAUUGGUUUCUUGAUUUGCUCUCUGAUUUGUAGUACCGAGCUCAUAAUUUGUACAAGAAUAUUUCCCACUAAAAAAUGUUUGUAGUAAAAUUUUUUAAGUAACUGGUGCUACCCUGGUACCCCAAAGAAAAAAUUAAUUUUAUAGCGAGAAAUACUCUGGUGUAAAUUCUGAACUUGGUGAUACAAUGUAAUAAAAAUAAAUUGAAAAGUCCAGACAUUGGGGUGCCCAUAUAACCCACCUGCAACAAUCUCUUUCACUUUAACACACCCGUUUAAUUGAAAAUGUAUUAUAAACAAAACAAAAAUACAAAACAUUAGCAGUCAAGACAUUGAUAUUUCCGUAAUCUUAUCUUAUUGAUAAGUAUCAACUUGAAUAUUCUAUGUUACAAAUUAUUUUUAAAACAAAACGAAAAUGUUUAAAUGUGUGAGUGUAGUCAAUAAUUAAAACAUACUGAAUGUUCUACACCAGAAUAAUAUACUUUAAAAUGUAUGCCUUAACAUAUUUGUGUUAUUGUACAUGUUUGUUAUAUAUCUGGAACCAACAAUAGUAUUGUGGACCCUUGACAUAAAUGCAGGGGAUCUUGAUUUAUAUUUUAAGUAUUGAAAUCGUAUACAAUAAAAACAAAUAUUAUUUACAUUCACAUAUUUUUAUCAUACAAAUAAUACAACUGGUUUAACAUUAUAAUUCAUAUAUACAAUUUAAAAAAAAAAUGAUUUUCAAAAUUUAAAUUAAAUAAUAGGUUUACUUGUAUUUGACUGGUUACUUUUACAGACCAUAAGAGAAGAACAAAUUAAUUUCAAUGACCAUAUUGUGACUGUGAAUAAGGAUGAUAAUGAUGAUGUAGAAAUAAUAGCUGGAACUCAAAUAAAAAAUACAAACAAACUAUUGUCAUGGGAAUGUUUCAAUUUAAUACUUUUAGGACUUACCAAUGAGAUUAUUGAACUUGGCGCUAAACCCAAUAUCAAAGUAAUAGUUUUACAAAUAUGGGUCAGAUAUUUGCAACAAAUCAAAGCAGCAUUCACAUCAAAGCAAUUUAAAAAACUUCCAAAGUUAAAUGUGAUUAAUAACAUGUAAGAUAAAAAAUCAAUUAUUGUCUAAAAUAGUUUGUUAUUGAUUUCAUCACUUAUUUUAUUAAAUUAAUAUUGUUCUAACUAUAAUAUCAUCUAUAAUAUUGCACAACAAUUUUAAAUUAAAAUAGAAGUUUCUGUGGUAUUGAAUAAUAUUGUAUGAAAACCCAAUGAGUACAUUUGCAUUUUAAUAUAAAUACACUUUUUUAGUGACUGUUCAAUUUUAUAUGGUGUUGAUAAUAUAAAACACAAAAUAUUGCAAGCGAAAACCGGAAUAAAUUGCAGAGGGAGAAAACGUCGCUUAUAUAAAAAAAGAUCAUAUUUGUCUAGUGAAUCCUCAGCCACAGUUAUAACAGCUAGUCAGAAACGAAAUAGAGUAAAUACUAUUUUAAUUUUAAUAAGAUAAGACCUAUUGCACUUUCAUUUACUGUAUUUGUCUUUCAAUUGACAACAUAUUCAAGUUUGCUUCGUAAUAUUUUUUCACAAUUGAUAAAAUACAAAAUAGAGCAAAAUAAUUAACAUUAAUUAAAAAACAAGAGGGCUGAAUACAUUAUUAUCUUUAAAGAUCUUUUUGAUAUUUUAAUUAAAAGUUAUAUUCAUAUUUUAAAAAUUAAUUUUUUUGUCUUAAAAAAAUUAGUUUUAUACUUUUAACUUUAUUGUAAUUUUAGUCUAAUCACUAAACUAGAGAAUUGUUGGAUAUUAAUAGUUUCCAUAUGUUCAGUAGAAAAUAAAGAAUAUAAGUACUAAGGUAGCACGAGUAUGAUAUCUAAUAGUUUAAACAACGUUUUUAGAUUUCCAGAAAAUUACGUAGAAUGGAUAAUUCUACAAAAGAUUCAAUGACUGGACUAUCAGAUGAUGUUAGUUUAUUGCAAAGAAGUCAAAAGCCAAGUAGGAUCAAGUAAGAUGAUUAUAAAUAAAUUACAAAGUUUAUAUUAGGGUGUAUCAGGAACUUUUUUAUCAGAUAUUCUACUUCUUAUUCCUUAGAGCAGUGUCCUGUGAAUAACUAGCAGGGGUUCCAGGAAGCCCCGGAAAAAGUUAAUUAAAAUUCUACCACAGUUAACCAUUUAAUGAUAACAGUAAUGAAAAAAGCAGCAUUGGCAUGCCAUAUAUAUGCUGUGCUGCAAUGCAGUGAAUACCUAUUAAUGAUUUUUUCCUAGUUACCUAGUCAUACAUGCGCGUAUAAUAAUUUAUUACAUUUAUUUUAAUACUAUGACUACCAAUAUAAUUAAACAAAAUAGAUUAAAUUUCUUUUUAAAUACAAAAUAAUGUUUUUAUAUUUUAGGGAUCCUCAUAAAAAUGUAUUAUUAUUUGGGGUUCCUUAAUCCCAAAACAAUAUUUUGUUCAGACUUGAAAUGAUUUUUUAAGGUCUCAAGCAUUAUUUUCUAAAAAAAGAAGUAGAGUUGUUUUUGUAUUUAUAUAAGUAAUAAUUUUUAAAUUAUGAUCAUUGAAUUGAAAGUUAUCAGAAAAAGAAAAAAACUGAGGUACUGGGGGCAGGUAUGCCACUGUUAUGGGUGAGAAGGUAGGAUACAUACAUAUUUUUUUUAUAUCUGUAAGCAAUGAUAAACCAUUGCUACUGAAAAUGAUUCAAAGUCGAUUUCAAUUAUACAUGUUUUGUUGAAAGGCCAUAAUAUUUUCGUCAAAAUUUAAUAUUAAAAUUCUUAUUUAAAAAAAAAACAUUACAUUAAAAUUAUUUUUUUUUUUUUGACCACAAAGUACACCUUAUAAUAAAUCUGUUGAAUUUUGAUGUAUUUCUGAUUAAUCUAACAAUUUUAUCCACUGACAACCUACCAAAUAAUUGUUUAUAAACUCUCAAAAAUUAAAAUGUCUAUGAACAGCUCAAAAAUGGCUCAAAUUUAUUCGAAAAUUGUUCUAUUUCUAGAAAAAGUAUUUGUAAGUUUUCUGUCAAAAUUUUAAGUUUUUAUACAUUUUUAUUUGAAUAACAACAAAAUUUAAAAUAUUAAAGGUAUUAUUUUUGUAAAUCUUCCUGUUCUUUCUACAAUUUUUUUUUGGUUUUGCUUAAUUAUUAGAAAACCUAUAGGAGAAAAUUAAAAAACUACUUUUUUACUUACCAACUAAAUUAAAAAUACAGCAAAAAGGUCACUUGUUGUUUUUAAAAACACUAGUUAAAGGUGGUUUCAAGAAUUUAUUUAUCCAAAAAUUUACUUUCAAUGGCCUAAAUAUGUAGUAAAAUUUAGAAUAUUAAAUUUGGCAAAUAUGAUAAAUGUUCUUUUCUUCUGCUAAUUUUUGAUAUAUACCUUAAAACCUUUUACCUCAAAUAUUAUUAUUUAUAUUUAAAAAAAAACGCAUUUUUUCCUAAUUUGUUAAUGAUGAUAAAAUUCAUUCCUUGUUCAAAGUCUAAAAUUAGGGGACAUUAAGCUGUAUGGAACACAAUUUUAUGGAUUGAAGAAUAUCUAAUAAAAAAAAAAAAAAAAAUCCUGAAACACUAAUUUAUAUAUUUGUUUGUAUUUUCAAAACAACAUUUUGGUAUUUUAGGAUCAAAUUUACCAAAAAGGUAAAGACAACUUUAAAAUCAUUACCUUCUAAGACUGAUGAUCUUUCUACUGAAGAAACAACAAAUCUACUUAGAGAUGGAAAAAAAUGUUGGUAUAAAUUAAAAACUGUUGAA